GACCAUGUAAUAAUACACGGAUAUAUAUUGUAUUAUAAUUUAUAUUUAUGUCAAAAACUUCGUAAAUACUACUUUUAAAAUAGUAGUCAUGGGUGGAACUAGUCUACCAAAACGGGAGUGGGAGUUAUCACUUUGGGGUCUGGUAAAAGGGGGAGUUGAAUGAGAUUAUACCUAAGCUAUCGAUCUGAUAUUAAGUUGAUACAAUAUAAUAAUAAUUAAUAUAUUUUUACCAAUAUUAUUUUUUUGUGUGGUAAAUUUAAAAACAAUUUUCAAUGCAAAGCGACACAUCACUUAUUGGACAGUAUUAUGACGUUUCUUUUUUACAACGAUCUAAAUAUCCCGUUUUAAAAUUAUUAAUGUUUUGCCAAAUAUCUGUGUAAUGCCUGUGUGUGUGCUUGUGUGUGUGCAAGCGCAGGAAAAAUAAUCAAUACUCUCUAGCCUCGGCCAUUUUGUAUUGUUGCGCUCUGCGCCUAUAACUAACCUUUAAUGACCAACAGCUGGGUUCUCGUUUCUUAUACUUUGUUUGUCAUUUUGCCGCUGCGGUGACAGUCGAACGCUAGUUGUAACUUUUAUUUCAAGGCUAUAAUUUAUAAAUCACCCGAAUCCUGUCGAAAAACAUAUUUUGUUAAACUGUAUAAGAAUAAAUGGCAGAUAUACCCAUUUGGUGUGUUAUUGAGUAUGAUGAUGUUGGUGUAUAAAUUUGACCAAAAAGUUGGACAGAGACUGGAUCACCAGGAACCAGCUAUUGGCCCCACCGAGGAGUUUUUAAUUCAGACCUACAAUACCUUAAUGCAGUAAAACAUAAUACAAGUUCUGGAAUAACUUGGCCAGUCUAUAAGGACGGGAUUCUAUGAUGACUUUGAAAAAGCAUGGAGACCAUCAGAUUUCAGAAAAAGAAAAAAAAAAAACCGAAAAAAGCGGAAGAAAAAAAA
RNAcentral lists this long non-coding RNA (932 nucleotides) under Acyrthosiphon pisum (pea aphid). Its description in RNAcentral is "uncharacterized LOC115033816, transcript variant X1". Lineage: Eukaryota; Metazoa; Arthropoda; Insecta; Hemiptera; Aphididae. The record is from RNAcentral.